UGGGGAAUUUUGGACAAUGGGGGAAACCCUGAUCCAGCCAUCCCGCGUGUGCGAUGAAGGCCUUCGGGUUGUAAAGCACUUUUGGCAGGAAAGAAACGUCGCGGGUUAAUACCCCGCGAAACUGACGGUACCUGCAGAAUAAGCACCGGCUAACUACGUGCCAGCAGCCGCGGUAAUACGUAGGGUGCAAGCGUUAAUCGGAAUUACUGGGCGUAAAGCGUGCGCAGGCGGUUCGGAAAGAAAGAUGUGAAAUCCCAGAGCUUAACUUUGGAACUGCAUUUUUAACUACCGGGCUAGAGUGUGUCAGAGGGAGGUGGAAUUCCGCGUGUAGCAGUGAAAUGCGUAGAUAUGCGGAGGAACACCGAUGGCGAAGGCAGCCUCCUGGGAUAACACUGACGCUCAUGCACGAAAGCGUGGGGAGCAAACAGGAUUAGAUACCCUGGUAGUCCACGCCCUAAACGAUGUCAACUAGCUGUUGGGGCCUUCGGGCCUUGGUAGCGCAGCUAACGCGUGAAGUUGACCGCCUGGGGAGUACGGUCGCAAGAUUAAAACUUAAAGGAAUUGACGGGGGUGCAUAGCUGUUUCCC
RNAcentral lists this ribosomal RNA (587 nucleotides) under uncultured bacterium. RNAcentral's name for it is "partial 16S ribosomal RNA". It matches the Rfam family "Bacterial small subunit ribosomal RNA", at positions 355 to 938 of the family's 1533-position model. The record is from RNAcentral.